RNAcentral lists this ribosomal RNA (156 nucleotides) under Alternaria alternata. RNAcentral's name for it is "5.8S ribosomal RNA". It matches the Rfam family "5.8S ribosomal RNA". From Rfam's summary of the family: 5.8S ribosomal RNA (5.8S rRNA) is a component of the large subunit of the eukaryotic ribosome. Lineage: Eukaryota; Fungi; Ascomycota; Dothideomycetes; Pleosporales; Pleosporaceae. The record is from RNAcentral.
AACUUUCAACAACGGAUCUCUUGGUUCUGGCAUCGAUGAAGAACGCAGCGAAAUGCGAUAAGUAGUGUGAAUUGCAGAAUUCAGUGAAUCAUCGAAUCUUUGAACGCACAUUGCGCCCUUUGGUAUUCCAAAGGGCAUGCCUGUUCGAGCGCAUUU